CUAAAUAUGAUACCGCAGAAUUUGGUGUAUUUAAAUCAACACCAAAUAAAUUGGUCAUCCAUUCAGGGUUAGUUCCAUUGACUAACUCGCGAGUCUAGCCAAAAGUUUGAUGAACAUGUGGAGUACAAAAUGUUGACUGAGGAUGUGGAACUAGGAAAUAUGUUUCUUCAAUAGUUGUUCCUACAACAUUAUGAAUAAUUGUUGUGCGUGGAUCAUUUUGUUGUUGUGCAACAAACAAGAACUAAGUAGUGUUUUUCCUAUACCAUUCAAUAUACUCCUGUGUAUGUGUGACUGGCCCUUCAACCCAUUGUCUCAUUAAAACAUCAUUGCCUUUAUUUUUCCAAAUAUUAAUUCACCCUGCAAGAUAUUUCAUCUAAUCACCGUAAUGAUUGUCUUGCAUGUCAAUCUGGUGUAGUCGAUCAAGA
This 425-nucleotide long non-coding RNA is filed under the name Glycine max (soybean). RNAcentral's name for it is "long non-coding RNA (GMAX_LNC002516)". Lineage: Eukaryota; Viridiplantae; Streptophyta; Magnoliopsida; Fabales; Fabaceae. The record is from RNAcentral.